CUGCUGUGCGGACUGAGUAAGUUGGUGUCUGUAAUGCCCUCAACCUACCACACAGGAGUGUGGAUCACAUUUAUUGCCAUUUUUGUGCUCAAUUGAUCUUUUGGUGGAGCAGUGGGACGAACUUGCUCAUGCAGGCCCACGGGGCCACAGUAACAGGAAGAGCUAAUCAGGCUGCUGGGAAAUGUGGCGGACUGGCCUGGAGAGUAUCUCUCUGUACCUCUCCUUCGUUGGUCGCCUGUCGCACCUCUGUGGCAUUCCUGUCCGGCUUGAUAUAAACUCUCGCUGCCUCUACCAGUCUCCGUAUCCUGCUUCAUCUCGAACUGUACUUUUUCGGCUCCCUAAAAGAUAUGCCUGCAGCAGAGCCUCCAGGCCCAUGUUCAAAGGAUGACAAAACUCCUAUGCCCUGGUCGCCUCUGUCUAUGGAAAAUUAGCCAGCCUCUCUCCUGCCUCACCGAUCCGGCCCUUUCCCAGAAGAAUCCUCUUCCCCCACCCUUAUAUGCCACCUGGAGGAGGAGAGGAAGACACAUGGACUCAGCCCUGGAGGCCUGAAGAAUGAGGAAGAAUUCACCAAGUAAAGGAAGAUACAGCGGGGCUGUUCUCAAAGAAUCCCAAGCAGAGAGAGCAGUGGACAGAGGCCUUCGGAUGAGGGUGUUGAGGUGGAGGUGGAGGCUGGACUGAGGCCUUGCUUGUGUGGACUGUGCUCUGAGGGCAUGGAAUGAGCACAGAAAGACUUGGGGGGCUGGGGAUUUAGCUCAGUAGUGCUGCUGCCUGCUUUGCAAAGUGGAAGGUCCGGAGUUCCCUGGUACCAAAAAAAAAAAAGGCUUGGGGCAAGAGCAUCCUGCAGUUGCCAUACAGAGGAAGGAUUUGGGGCCAGAGGGGUGAGGGUGACCUUCAAGCAGGCUCCCAACCAUUUGUCCCUCCUCCCCCAUGAGCGGGUACAGCUCCUCCUUCCGGGUUAGAAAGGGAGGCAAGACUGCAGCUGUUUCUCCUUUCCCCACACUCAUGGGCUGACUCCUUUCUGGACAGACACAGACACAUGUACGCGUGCAUAGACACGCACACACCUGCUGCUCUCCCUGGCAGAAGAAAGGCAGGGAUGAUCUGGGAGAGGGGACACAGAGCCAUCUGACCUGGGAGAGCUAGGUGAGAAGGGGUUUCAUACUCCGCUGCAACUCUGUCACCUCACCCUGCAGUGUCGCCCACCCCCACCCCCGGGAGCUGGGAACACACAGACUGUAUGUGAGAGUGUACUUGUGUGUGGACUGGGAUGUGUGGUGUGUUCAAGAAACACAAGGGAGGUGCCCCCAAGGGCAGCUCCAGGGUGGAAAGGGAUUUUAGGAUUCUGAGAUUAAAGAAUUAAACAUCCUGCCACAACCCCCUCGGAGCCUGGAAUCCUUGCGGCCUCACAGCAGAGAGCUCUCAGCUGAGCCAGGCCAGAGCUGCACCAGCUCUGGGCUGCUGCUUCUGGCCAGGUCUCACCCAGGCUUCCUGAAGCACCUUCCCUGCCUGGGACCCAGGCCACAUGGGCUCAGACCCCCUCAGGUGCUCUAGCCAGACUCCAGCCAGCCUUCAUCAGGGUGCAGCCCUGACCCAGGGGCUCAGAUGUGUCUGUUCACUCUGCCCAUCCCGGCAAUCUCGGUCCAACAACCCUUCGCUCCCCUCCUGUGCUAUCCCCCACCCUGCUGCCAGAGAGGCUUCCGAGAAAACUCACUCAGGUUGCUGCUUUCCUUGCUGUCUUUCCAUGGCUCCCACUCCCCUCCCAGUGGAAGCCAAACUCCUCCCCGCAGCUGACAAGGCCCAUCAGCCCUCUGGUCUCAGUGUCUGAGCCAGAUGGAGCUCUCCUCUCCGGCCAUCCAGGAGUGCUGGGUGCUCACCUCCCUGCCUGCCACCCCACUGCACCCCAAGCCUCUGUACUGCCAUUGUCACUCUUGGAGACCCAUCACUCACAUGGCUCCACUGAAACCCCUCCUAGAUGCUCAGGCCUCAACUGAGAAGUUCAUUCUUGGUAGAGGCCAGGAGCCUGUGACCACCAUACAGACCCCUUGAGGGCUGAGUGUUCCCCUUCUCCCCAGAACUUCACCUGCUGCAGCACUGAGCACCCUGUGCUGCAAAGGCCUAUUGGACAUAUGUAUCCCGCACUCUGCUGUAUGCAUAAGAUGGCAACGGCAUAUUCCAAGAGCAGGAAGGGAUGUACAGGGGCUGAGCAGGCAGGAAGCUUCACCUUGUGGUCAGGUUCAAGUGUCAAAGACACAGCUGCCACACUCAGGGUGAUGUGACAGCUGUGAUUCCCUGCACGGACCCCAGGCCAGGCCCUCUGCUGAGCACUAUCUCAUUUCACGCCCAGUGACCUUUGGAGAGGUGUCAUUGCUACAUCCCUGAUUCAAAGAUAAGGAAACAGCUAUGGCGUGGCUGUGAUUUGGCGCACCAUACUGUUGAGGAAGCUUAUUCCCCAGUGGGCGGAGAAUUGCCAUGCGGGACCUUUUAGACUGAUUAAAGCAAGAGGGCUCAGCACUCAUGAAUGGACCAAUCCAUUCAUGGAUUUUGUCUGUUUGGUUUGAUUGUUUGUCUGUUUGUUUUGAGACAGAGUCUCGCUAUGUUGUUUGGGGCUGGCCUGAACUUACUCUGUAGUCUGGGAUAGAUUCAAACUCACAGAGAUCCUCCUAUCUCAGCCUUCCCAGUGCUGGGACUGUAGGCAUGUGCC
Molecule: long non-coding RNA, 2701 nt
Organism: Fukomys damarensis (Damara mole-rat)
Lineage: Eukaryota; Metazoa; Chordata; Mammalia; Rodentia; Bathyergidae
Exons: 5
Source: RefSeq, a predicted model, not a curated record